This 484-nucleotide ribosomal RNA is filed under the name uncultured bacterium. RNAcentral's name for it is "partial 16S ribosomal RNA". It matches the Rfam family "Bacterial small subunit ribosomal RNA", at positions 28 to 507 of the family's 1533-position model. The record is from RNAcentral.
AUUGAACGCUGGCGGCAUGCUUUACACAUGCGAGUCGAACGGCAGCGCGGGCUUCGGCCUGGCGGCGAGUGGCGAACGGGUGAGUAAUGCAUCGGAACGUGCCCAGUCGUGGGGGCUAGCCCGGCGAAAGCCGGCUUAAUACCGCACACGAUCUGAGGGUGAAAGCGGGGGACCGAAAGGCCUCGCGCUUUUGGAGCGGCCGAAGUCGGAUUAGCUAGUUGGUGGGGUAAAGGCUUACCAAGGCGACGAUCCGUAGCUGGUCUGAGAGGACGACCUGCCACACUGGGACUGAGACACGGCCCAGACUCCUACGGGAGGCAGCAGUGGGGAAUUUUGGACAAUGGGGGCAACCCUGAUCCAGCCAUGCCGCGUGCGUGAAGAAGGCCUUCGGGUUGUAAACCGCUUUUGUUCGGGAAGAAAUCCUCUGGGCUAAUACCCCGGGGGGAUGACGGUACCGGAAGAAUAAGCACCGGCUAACUACGUG